ACGGGAGGCAGCAGUGAGGAAUAUUGGUCAAUGGGCGGAAGUCUGAACCAGCCAAGUCGCGUGCGGGAGGAAGGCCCUACGGGUCGUAAACCGCUUUUGUACGGGGAUAAAGUCACCCACGUGUGGGUGUUUGUAGGUACCGUAAGAAUAAGGAUCGGCUAACUCCGUGCCAGCAGCCGCGGUAAUACGGAGGAUCCGAGCGUUAUCCGGAUUUAUUGGGUUUAAAGGGUGCGCAGGCGGGCUGCUCAGUCUCCGGUGAAAUGUCAGGGCUCAACCUUGGCACUGCCGGAGAUACUGGCGGCCUUGAGAGUGGCGGAGGUAUCCGGAAUGUGUGGUGUAGCGGUGAAAUGCAUAGAUAUGUCACAGAACACCGAUUGCGAAGGCAGCCGGCCAAUCCGCAACUGACGCUCAUGCACGAAAGCGUGGGGAUCGAACAGGAUUAGAUACCCUGGUA
RNAcentral lists this ribosomal RNA (454 nucleotides) under uncultured Parapedobacter sp. RNAcentral describes it as "partial 16S ribosomal RNA". It matches the Rfam family "Bacterial small subunit ribosomal RNA", at positions 341 to 792 of the family's 1533-position model. The record is from RNAcentral. Lineage: Bacteria; Pseudomonadati; Bacteroidota; Sphingobacteriia; Sphingobacteriales; Sphingobacteriaceae.